AUGGCAAUCAUCAGAGUGUCAGCCUCACACUGUCUCUCCUUUGUCUGUCUAGUAUCGUCAGCUCUCGUUCAUCAUUCUGGAGGAGCCUUCGUGGCUAGUCAACAGCAACCAACGAACGCCGGCAACGAUGGGGAGGCGGAAGAGAAGUUUACAUCGGCUCUUCUAGAGAGCGGGCCGCCAAAACCCCGGGAUCACAGGGUGAUGCUUCACCCUGGCAAAUGGAAGAUACGCACGGCCGACAAAGAAAGCCUCUACUUGGCCUACCACUUUUUCCUAGGAUCAAAAUGGGCAGAUUACAGGGUCAAUUACCCCAAGUGUUCUCAGGUAGCCUGCGAAGGAUUGCCUGACUCUCAUAGAGCUUGCGAUCACUUCUGCUCUACCGGCACCUGGCGCGACGCAACCCUUGUGUUGGAAACAGCCACGCUUGAGUACGACAGGGCCGUGAGAUCGCUCGGCUCGACCUUUAGCGAUCUCGCCGCUCUCAUGGACACACACAUCAUCCAGCAGGACUGGAGCUCUUCUGACUCUGUGUCCAAACUGCUUUCGUACCACGGCGAGGAGUCAGUUUCAGGCCCCGAAGUGGUAGAUGUGAUGAAACUCCACAGGAACUUGAUAGAAGAGGCCCUGAAUAACAUAGUAGCUCGACGGAGCGCAAUGUUGUCGCCCGAGAUGGUGCACUCGGUUUAUGGUUUGACCAACACAACAAAGUUUAAUGAAAUGCUCGACACCUGGAGGAGCGGCGCGUUUAAGUUGGCCGUUCAGCUCAAUGCAGCCACGUUUGCAUUUCAAGGAGCUCACCAGCGUUUACUCUUGUGUGCACAAGGCAUACAGAGGCUGGACAUGACGGGGUGCGAACCUGGUUUCAUCGCAGAAUUGUACACGGAUGUACCUAUGUUGAGCCGUUCGCUUUCAUCCUCUAGGCUUGUGAUGGUCGUCAGGAGGGAGAAUUGGAACACCGUCACACUCUCACGCUGGUUCAUGCCCUUCAUAGACUCCUCGAGCGGAAACAGGACGUGUUGGCUGGCCAGGCCCAUGGUGAGCGACGAGCGUGCCAACUACAGGGUGCCUCUGUGUGACUCGAGGGGCCUGUGUGAACCUUUGGAAUUGGACAACAAGACGGUGUCUGCGUGCCAGGUGAACGGUGACGGCGAGAUAGGUUUUGAGUGUCCCGUCGUGUGCGGCUCCUCAUGCUUCGGUCCCAUUUGCUACCAGCACCAGACGGACACGUAUGUGCCAAGGAGUGCUUCUGGCAGAGCUCCCGCUGGCCUCCACGCCACCACAAAGACUCUCGUCCGGGUGACACGGAGCCCCCGGGUACUCUUGAAGGCGUACUCAUUGUCUGAGGCAGAUCUGGACGAGUCCCUCACUAGUGUGAGGAAUCUAUCCACUUGGUCCUCUGAAUUGCUACAGCGAGGAGAAACUGUCUUAGAUAACAUCGUCACCACGAAGGCCACCGCUCAGAUGUACAUCGACCGAGUGAAGGCACAGGAGGCAGCGCGAUCGCAGCGGAGUCUCGACUGCGAGAGCCUAGUAGGUCGCUAUCGAUCCAUGGCCGCCAUUUCUAUCUGCCUCUCUGCUCUAGCGUGCCCUUUAUUGAUUAUCGUAACAAUUAAAUUGCGGUCUAGCGCAAACAACCCGGUUGUGAUCGUGAGGACGACCAGGAAUUAUUCAGAGGCGUUUCUCUAG
Molecule: long non-coding RNA, 1686 nt
Filed under: Betta splendens (Siamese fighting fish)
Lineage: Eukaryota; Metazoa; Chordata; Actinopteri; Anabantiformes; Osphronemidae
Description: lncRNA (ENSBSLG00000017705.1)
Source: RNAcentral